GGGCUGGGGCUCAGUGGUAGAGCGCUUGCCUAGCAUGUAUGAGGCACUGGGUUCAAUUCUCAGCACCACA
This 70-nucleotide transfer RNA is filed under the name Marmota monax (woodchuck). Its description in RNAcentral is "tRNA.Ala". The stretch from base 5 to 65 matches the Rfam family "tRNA", at positions 6 to 65 of the family's 71-position model. Rfam says of the family: Transfer RNA (tRNA) molecules are approximately 80 nucleotides in length. Their secondary structure includes four short double-helical elements and three loops (D, anti-codon, and T loops). The record is from RNAcentral. Lineage: Eukaryota; Metazoa; Chordata; Mammalia; Rodentia; Sciuridae.